UACGUAGGGGGCGAGCGUUAUCCGGAUUUAUUGGGCGUAAAGCGUGCGUAGGCGGUUUAUUAAGUUUAAGAUAAAAGCCCGAGGCUUAACUUCGGUUCGUCUUAAAAACUGGUAGACUUGAGUGUGGUAGAGGUAAAUGGAAUUUCUAGUGUAGCGGUGAAAUGCGUAGAUAUUAGAAGGAACACCAGUGGCGAAGGCGAUUUACUGGGCCACAACUGACGCUCGAGCACGAAAGCGUGGGUAGCAAAUA
RNAcentral lists this ribosomal RNA (250 nucleotides) under uncultured prokaryote. RNAcentral's name for it is "partial 16S ribosomal RNA". It matches the Rfam family "Bacterial small subunit ribosomal RNA", at positions 524 to 774 of the family's 1533-position model. The record is from RNAcentral.